RNAcentral lists this ribosomal RNA (497 nucleotides) under uncultured bacterium. RNAcentral's name for it is "partial 16S ribosomal RNA". It matches the Rfam family "Bacterial small subunit ribosomal RNA", at positions 28 to 507 of the family's 1533-position model. The record is from RNAcentral.
GAUGAACGCUGGCGGCGUGCCUAAUACAUGCAAGUCGAGCGAACGGACGAGAAGCUUGCUUCUCUGAUGUUAGCGGCGGACGGGUGAGUAACACGUGGAUAACCUACCUAUAAGACUGGGAUAACUUCGGGAAACCGGAGCUAAUACCGGAUGAUAUUUUGAACCGCAUGGUUCAAAAGUGAAAGACGGUCUUGCUGUCACUUAUAGAUGGAUCCGCGCUGCAUUAGCUAGUUGGUAAGGUAACGGCUUACCAAGGAAACGAUGCAUAGCCGACCUGAGAGGGUGAUCGGCCACACUGGAACUGAGACACGGUCCAGACUCCUACGGGAGGCAGCAGUAGGGAAUCUUCCGCAAUGGGUGAAAGCCUGACGGAGCAACGCCGCGUGAGUGAUGAAGGUCUUCGGAUCGUAAAACUCUGUUAUUAGGGAAGAACAUAUGUGUAAGUAACUGUGCACAUCUUGACGGUACCUAAUCAGAAAGCCACGGCUAACUACGUG